RNAcentral lists this long non-coding RNA (1217 nucleotides) under Trifolium pratense (red clover). Its description in RNAcentral is "long non-coding RNA (TPRA_LNC003153)". The record is from RNAcentral. Lineage: Eukaryota; Viridiplantae; Streptophyta; Magnoliopsida; Fabales; Fabaceae.
UUGACUAUUAACUGCGUUGCAUACGUGACGCCAUGUGAUAGAGGGGGUAAUUGAUCAGCAUGCAAGUCACAUGACAAAUUCUAAAAUUUUCAGGGGCGGUAUUUUGUCGGAUUAAAAUAAUAUUAUUUUUGCCCCAAUCCACUAAAUUUUUGUUUUUUUGGAUCUGAUGAAUAUAAUAUGAGGAUGAUUUCUCUCCCGACUCCCCUCAUUUCUUUUCUAUCUCCUGAAUUUCCAUUUUUGCUCUUGGGGUACUUCGGUUUAUACGAACCGAAUUUUUUUGUCAUGCUAAAAAAAAUCGGUUUAUAUAAACCGAAAUAUUGUGUUCCAAUUUUUUUUUCAGCUUUCCUGCAUAAAUUCUGCAUGAGACCCUCAACUUCCACAAUUUAUUUGAAAUACUAAACGAUGUCCGAUUUGAGUAAACGACCACUCGUUGGAAAGCUUAGGGUGUCAAGAAUACAAAUAUAAUUUUUUUUUUAGGGUUAACUAUCCAAUUGGUUCAGUUUGACCAAAUAAUGAGUACUGGUACAGAAACAGGGCAUAAACUUUUCUCAAACUUGUAGGUAGAUUUUCUCAUACUAUACUUAAUGAAAUUUAACAAUUCCGGUGUCAAUCUUGUAGUAAAAUUUGUCUUUUUUACACUGGAUCAAAAAUCAUUAGCAUACGACUUAUAUUCAGAGAGCUAUAAUAAAUUUACCACAGGUAUCUCUACAACAUUUUAUAGAAACUUUGCUUAAACUUGUAGGUAGAUUUUCUCAUAUUAUACUUAAUGAAAUUUAAUAAUUCCGGUGUCAAUCUUGUAGUAAAUUUUGUCUUCUUUACACUGGAUUAAAAAUCAUUAGCAUACGACCUAUAUUCAGAGAGAUGCUAAAUUUACCACAGGUAGCUCUACACGAAUUUUCACAUAAAUUUUCCUUCUUUUUGGGGGGUAUAUGUUAUUUCGGUUUAUAUAAACCGAAUUUUUUUUCCAUGUUUAAAAACUUCGGUUUAUAUAAACCGAAGUUUGUUGGCAAAAAAUUUUCAUACCGCAAGGGGCAAAAUGGAAUUUUGGGGGGUAGAAAAGAAAUGAGGGGGGGUCGGAAGAGAAAACUUCUAAUAUGAGGGGCUUGAAGGCCCACUGUUCAUUUUACGCUCAAAAACACAUUUGAAGAAAAUCAAUCAAUCCAUCCAUCCGCGAAGAUCAACCACCGUCGCCGGUCUAUCGUCCGUCUUCACUGUCG